This is a long non-coding RNA of Dreissena polymorpha, 1919 nucleotides long. RefSeq lists it as uncharacterized. Lineage: Eukaryota; Metazoa; Mollusca; Bivalvia; Myida; Dreissenidae. The transcript has 4 exons. The record is from RefSeq and is a predicted model, not a curated record.
UAUUAUUUCAAUAAAUAGCAAUGAAAUAGUUUGUUAAUUAAUGAAUGUGAUACAUGUUUAUACAUCAAAAUUAUUAAUGAACUUAAUGUAAAAACUUAGUUGAAAGCUGUUUUUGAAACAAUGAUCAUAAUAUAUUUCAGGAGUGGCUGCUAUAAUGCAGCAUGAAAAUCCCCACAUGGUUAAUGUGAACUGUGUUGCCCAUAGGCUUGCUCUAUGUACCUCUCAAGCUGCUGCUAAAAUUCCAUAUAUGCAGAAACACCAACAGAUACUGACAGAUCUAUUCUACUAUUUCAAGGGAAGCAGUAAGCGUGAAAUGAGACUUAAACAAAUCCAGGACAUUUUGGAUGACCCAUGCCUCACAAUCAAGGAAAUCCAUUCAGUAAGAUGGUUGUCAUAUUUCAACGCUCUCACAACUGUGUUCUGAACCCUGGAUAGUGUCCUUGCUGAGCUCCAUUCAACAGGCAAAGAUCCCAAAGCUAGUGGUUUGAAGAAAAAGAUGGCCACCGACAAUUUUAUCGAAACAACAUAUAUGCUCAUGGAUGCAAUGGCUCCAGUAACAAUAUUGUCACAGUUUUUUCAAACAGAAAAUGUUGACGUUGCACUUGUGAAGAUAAUAUUAUUAAUUCAUUCGUCCCUCAAAUAAUUUUCAGCAGGCGGCUUACAAUUAGCUCUUUUAAAUUGAAGAUAAGAAUGCAGAUCUCCUGCUUUGUUUAAUAUAAGCCUUUUAAAAAAUUGUCACAAAAGGCAAAAAAAGUUCAAUGUAGUCAUGUGUUGUCUCCUUUGAAAUGCGAAGAUACGUAUUCAGGCACCACAUGUAAAAAAACAAUGAACAAAAUCCUUUGUAUUCAAUUUAAUAAAAGUUGAAUGUCUUAAAAGAUUUAACUUUUCAUGCAAAUUAUUGCUGUCGAUCAAUAAAAAAUAUAUAAGGAAACUAAUGAACAUGCCAUUUUUGGUAGGUCAAGUUAGAUCUCUGUGUAGCCGACCUGAUGAAAGUGAAAGCCAUGGAAUCUCCCCACUGUAAACUGCUCCAGGAACAUCUUCAACCCUCGAAAUUUAAGGGCCAGCAUGAUAUUACAUCCACAAACUUCAACCUAAAGAAUCUGACAGCAACAUGUAUUGAUGCUCUCAUUGACAACAUUCUGACAAGGUUUCCCUAAACUGAUCUCCUCACAGCUUUCAGUGUUUGGGGAAUGAGGCCAAUAACACUUCUGUCAAACCAGGAAUUGGAGGAAUAUGGUGAAAGAGAAAUUAAAAAACUUUGUAAGUUCUAUUGACAUACCCAAACUGUGAAUUGGAAGGAUGAUGACAAGGAGUCGAUGAGAAGUCUUCUGGGCCUAUAGUGAAUGAAGAUCAAACAAAACAAGAAUGGCAACUUUUAAAGCAAGUUGUAAAAGCAGAGCAGUACCCAAGAGACAGUUUGUGGAAAUUGUGGAACAUGAUUUCUAUGUACAAUACACCUGAGUUUCCAAACAUGCUAGUUCUGGAUAGGCUUGCCCUGACAUCUGCUGUUCAUACUGCAGGAUGUGAGAGGGGUUUUUAUGUGCAGAAUAAGGUCUUGACCAAAUUCAGGAACAGGUUAACUGUAGAGAAACAAGACAAACUCAUGAGAGUGAAGUUAUGCAAUUUUCCCCAAAAUGAAUUUGUGGAAAAAGCUCUCCUGGUUUGGAGAAAAAACAAGGCAAGAAGGCUAUACACCUUAAAUACAGUAUGAUACAGUUAACCUGUUCCUGAAUUUGGUCAAGACCUUACUGUAUGAGUGUUGUUACACUAAAUCUCGUUAUCUGUAUUGAAGGUGUAAGAGGAGAAAUUGUCUGUUUGAAAGGGCUUAUUUUGGCAAAAAAAUAAAUAUAAACACUAGUCAUGAUCAUCCAAUAUAUUAAAACUCUAGUCAGAAAUUGUUAAAGAUGUUAAAAGUUCUC